UACCCGCUGGAACUUAAGCAUAUCAAUAAGCGGAGGAAAAGAAACCAACCGGGAUUGCCUCAGUAACGGCGAGUGAAGCGGCAAGAGCUCAAAUUUGAAAGCUGGCUCCUUCGGAGUCCGCAUUGUAAUUUGCAGAGGAUGCUUUGGGUGCGGCCCCCGUCUAAGUGCCCUGGAACGGGCCGUCAGAGAGGGUGAGAAUCCCGUCUUGGGCGGGGUGUCCGUGCCCGUGUAAAGCUCCUUCGACGAGUCGAGUUGUUUGGGAAUGCAGCUCUAAAUGGGUGGUAAAUUUCAUCUAAAGCUAAAUACUGGCCGGAGACCGAUAGCGCACAAGUAGAGUGAUCGAAAGAUGAAAAGCACUUUGAAAAGAGAGUUAAACAGCACGUGAAAUUGUUGAAAGGGAAGCGCUUGCGACCAGACUCGCCCGCGGGGUUCAGCCGGCAUUCGUGCCGGUGUACUUCCCCGUGGGCGGGCCAGCGUCGGUUUGGGCGGCCGGUCAAAGGCCCCUGGAAUGUAGUACCCUCCGGGGUACCUUAUAGCCAGGGGUGCAAUGCGGCCAGCCUGGACCGAGGAACGCGCUUCGGCACGGACGCUGCAUAAUG
Molecule: ribosomal RNA, 599 nt
Filed under: Aspergillus tubingensis
Lineage: Eukaryota; Fungi; Ascomycota; Eurotiomycetes; Eurotiales; Aspergillaceae
Description: eukaryotic LSU rRNA
Rfam family: Eukaryotic large subunit ribosomal RNA
Source: RNAcentral